Molecule: long non-coding RNA, 1042 nt
Filed under: Corvus moneduloides (New Caledonian crow)
Lineage: Eukaryota; Metazoa; Chordata; Aves; Passeriformes; Corvidae
Description: lncRNA (ENSCMUG00000018490.1)
Source: RNAcentral
CAAGGUGUGAACGUGCGCCGCAAAACUCGUCAGAGAGCUAAAAGGGCGCUUUAUACGUUAAUUUUGGAUCUUUGCCCGUCUAAACUCUUAAUCCAGGCGCCGGGCGCCUCCGCCCUCCCCAGCGGCUCCGGCGGGACUCCGGCCGCGGCGGAACCCGGCCCGCGGGAGGCUCCCGGCCGCGGCGGGCGCACGCCUCUCCUGCGGAGCGCUCUCGCGGAGCGGCGCUGCCGCCAGCCCGGCUCCACGGCGGCCCCGCGGGCGCGGAAGCGGCACGCAGCCCCCCGAGCAGCAGCGUUUGGGGUUCCCUUCUUCCCUCCCUUCAGCGAUCCCAAACUCCGUUCCAACGCGUUUAUUUCCUCCUGCGUCCCAAGCCAGCUUCCUGCCCGCGCUGCCACCGCUUCUCCCCAGCAUCCCGCCCGCCCCGCCGCUCCGUGCCGCCGGUUCACGGGCGGCCCGGGACGGUGGCGGCGGGGGCGGUGGGCGGCCCGCGGGAGGCCCCGAUUGGCGCAGCCGGCGCACGUGGGGCCGCCCUCCCGCCUCGGCUCUGGCAGCGCGGCCGCCGCCGCGGGGCACGGCACGGCAGGGCGGGAGAGCGCACCGUGCUCCGCUCCGCGCGGGUCUCCGCGUACCGCACGCGGCGCUGCGGCGAGGAGGGGAGCGAGAGGACUCAAACCGAGCCUGCGGAAAGGAUGUUUCAGGAGUAACCUUGACAGUCCAGUGAAACGGCCACCACCACCCUCCUCGCCUUCUGUUUGAGCCAGCUUUGCUAAUGGAAAAGUAAAAUCUACAAUAGCUGUCGUCAUUAUCCACUUGUCUUGUGCUGAUGCUGAUGAAAUCUGAAGUUCAAGAAAAUAUUUAACAUUAUUUAGAGAAAUGUGUUAUUCUUUUUUCAUCAUAUUUUGCCCUCUGUCAAACAGAGGAGCUUAUGUUUAAGGAAUUACAUCACUUUGCAAAUCCCUCUAUCUUUCUCUAAAAAUAAACUGUCUUUUAGGAUGUCUUUAACUUGGCUGUUUUCCUUUUGUGAGUCAGAGCUAGUGUUACU